Sipha flava (yellow sugarcane aphid) is the source of this 1085-nucleotide long non-coding RNA. RefSeq lists it as uncharacterized. The transcript has 5 exons. The record is from RefSeq and is a predicted model, not a curated record. NCBI's taxonomy places the organism in Eukaryota, Metazoa, Arthropoda, Insecta, Hemiptera, Aphididae.
CCAAUGGAUAACUUUAAAAAAAGCAUUAGAAACUUUAAAUAAUCAUGCUAAACAUCAAUAUCAUAAACUAGCUUUAGAAAAAGCUGAUUAUUUUUUGAAUAUUGCAUUUUCAAAGAAACCUGAGAUAUAAACAAAUUAAACAUAGACAGAGCAAAAAAAAGUUAAAGAAAACCGAGAGAAUUUAAUUCCUAUUAUUGAUUGUAUUUUGGUAUGUGGUCGUCAAGAGAUUGCUUUAAGGGGUCAUAGGGACUUUGGUGCUUUGUCAUUUGAUGGCGAACCUGAGAUGAAUGAAGGGAAUUUUCGAGCUAUACUGAAAUAUAAAGCAAAAGACAUAGAAUAUUUAAAAAACUUUCUUUCAUCAAGCUAUCGAAAUAAAUAUAUUAGCCCAACUAUUCAAAAUGAAACUAUAAUCACUUGUGGUGAUAUUAUUUUAAAAAAGUUGUGAAAGAAGUUAACGAGUCACAUUAUUUUAGUGUUCUUGCAGAUGAGACAACAGAUAUUUCUGUUGUAGAACAACUUACUAUUUGUGUUAGAUAUCUUUUUGGUACUGGGAAAGAAAAAAAAUGUUUAUGAAAUUUCUUAAAAUUUACAGAAGUUACAAGUUUAACGGCUGAUAACUUAGCUGUAGCAAUUUUAAAUGGCUUGAAUUCAUGUGGUACUAAUUGUAACAAUAUUUGUGGACAAGGGUAUGAUGGUGCAUGAAAUAUGACAGGGCACAUAAAAGGCGUUCAAACAAUAAUAAGAAAUAAGUACCCAAAAGCUUUAUAUGUGCAUUAUGUUGCACGUACGUUGAAUUUAGCUGUGUCAUCUGUUUGCAAUAUUCAACCUGUACGAAAUUGCUUAGGAACUAUUCAAAAAAUGUAUUGUUUUUUUAAUUCCCCAAAGCGUCAUCAAGUGAUUUUAACAGCAAUAAGUCAAAGUAACUUAGAUUCAAAAUGGAAUUUAUAUUUUAACAGAGUUAUCAGUCAUAAAUGAUGUUGCAGAAAGAGGCGUUAAGUUAAUUCAAGAAUACAAUAGUAUACUGACGAAAGACGAAAAUCAAAAACAAUUUCUACUACAAGUUGUAAAUGAUUAUACAAAAUAUU